This 139-nucleotide small nucleolar RNA is filed under the name Aotus nancymaae (Ma's night monkey). Its description in RNAcentral is "Small nucleolar RNA SNORA40 (ENSANAG00000001198.1)". It matches the Rfam family "Small nucleolar RNA SNORA40". Rfam says of the family: The snoRNA ACA 40 belongs to the H/ACA family of snoRNAs and guides the pseudouridylation of 28S rRNA subunit at position U4565. NB This family has a high threshold value to exclude a large number of closely related sequences that do not appear to have conserved H and ACA boxes, and may be pseudogenes. Lineage: Eukaryota; Metazoa; Chordata; Mammalia; Primates; Aotidae. The record is from Rfam by way of RNAcentral.
UGCACUUACGUUUUGUUUUUGUUCUUAACUUGUGGACAAAGUCUUAUUAGGAUAGCGUGCCAAAAAACAAAUCCUCUUUUGCAACCAGGAACUCAUUGUUCAGUAUGAGUUUUGAUACAUACAUGUAAGAAGGGAUAUU